This 161-nucleotide small nuclear RNA is filed under the name Prunus dulcis (almond). RNAcentral's name for it is "sRNA ncRNA". It matches the Rfam family "U1 spliceosomal RNA". Rfam says of the family: U1 is a small nuclear RNA (snRNA) component of the spliceosome (involved in pre-mRNA splicing). Its 5' end forms complementary base pairs with the 5' splice junction, thus defining the 5' donor site of an intron. There are significant differences in sequence and secondary structure between metazoan and yeast U1 snRNAs, the latter being much longer (568 nucleotides as compared to 164 nucleotides in human). Lineage: Eukaryota; Viridiplantae; Streptophyta; Magnoliopsida; Rosales; Rosaceae. The record is from Rfam by way of RNAcentral.
AUACUUACCUGGACGGGGUCAAUGGGUGAUCAGGAAGACUCAUGGCCUAAGUUGGUGACCUCCAUUGCACUUAGGAGGGGUGCUAGCUUAAGGUCUCCCCAAGUGGGAGAGCCUACGUCAUAAUUUAUUGCAAUGGGGGCUUGCGUUCGCGCAGCCCCCGC